AUGAACGCUGGCGGCGUGCUUAACACAUGCAAGUCGAACGGUGAAGGCGGAGCUUGCUCUGCUGGAUCAGUGGCGAACGGGUGAGUAACACGUGAGCAAUCUGCCCCUGACUCUGGGAUAAGCGCUGGAAACGGCGUCUAAUACUGGAUACGAGCUGCGAAGGCAUCUUCAGCAGCUGGAAAGAAUUUCGGUCAGGGAUGAGCUCGCGGCCUAUCAGCUUGUUGGUGAGGUAAUGGCUCACCAAGGCGUCGACGGGUAGCCGGCCUGAGAGGGUGACCGGCCACACUGGGACUGAGACACGGCCCAGACUCCUGCGGGCGGCCGCCGUGGGGGCUCUUGCCCGCUGGGCGAAAGCCUGAUGCAGCAACGCCGCGUGAGGGACGACGGCCUUCGGGUUGUAAACCUCUUUUAGCAGGGCAGCCGCGAAAGUGCCGGUGCCUGCCGAAAAAGCGCCGGCUCCCUCCGUG
This 467-nucleotide ribosomal RNA is filed under the name uncultured bacterium. RNAcentral describes it as "partial 16S ribosomal RNA". It matches the Rfam family "Bacterial small subunit ribosomal RNA", at positions 29 to 507 of the family's 1533-position model. The record is from RNAcentral.